Molecule: long non-coding RNA, 1197 nt
Organism: Homo sapiens (human)
Lineage: Eukaryota; Metazoa; Chordata; Mammalia; Primates; Hominidae
Gene: LYRM4-AS1
Product: LYRM4 antisense RNA 1
Source: Ensembl
AGAUAUAGAGUGUGAGAGAGAAGAGUGGAGGCUGGUUCUCAGGCUCCAGAAGCAUAAGCCUGCAUGGAGCAUAGCGUCACUGAGCAAGACAGGUGUGGAGGAUGAGAAGCGGGCCACAGGAUGGGAAGGGAAUCUGUGUGGAGGCGGUGCCCUAAACAUGCUGCCUUGAGGAGGGACCUCUACAUGGGGUGGCCGGGCACAGCCAGAUGUCCCUGGAGACAGCGCCAUCUGGUGGAACUUCCUGUAACGAUCGAGAUGUUCCGUCUGUGCCGUCCAACAUGGGAGCCAUGCAGGACACAUGGUGACUGAGCACUGGGACUGUGUGCCGCGUGACCAAGAGCAGCUCAGCUCUAAAGUCUCCUCCAGCUUUAUGAUGUCACUUCCUGUAUCUUCUCUACACAUUCUUUCCUUCAGCCUGUUGUUUUUUGCCUUCACCUCUAACGGGUCACAAUUUACCUUUUCUAGGCUACCCAUGGGGACCUCAACAGCUUUGCCAUUGCACACUAUCUUUGCAGACAAGAUCUUAAUCACAUCCAACUUUCUGCAGUUGCACAGGGUACCUCAGACCCACAUCCCAGAUGACAUUCCUCAGAAGCUCGCAGCUGGAGAUGACAUCACCUUAGACAACAUCACCCUAGCCCAAGACAUCGCUAUUAGAGAUACAUCACCUGGACACUAAAGCCUCCAACCCAGUGACACUCUCAAGGUGCUGACAAAAUGGACAUGGACAUUUGUUGCUUUUCUUCUUUUGAAUUAGGAACUCUAUUGUGUUUCCUGAAUUUACUGUCUGCUUGGCCCAUGAUCCUGGUAUGUUCCUUGCUCUCUGCCAAAACAUGCACCGUCCCCUCCACACCUAAAGGAAAACCUGGUAGAAGCUACUACUCUCAAUGCCAUUCUAAAAUUGACGAAGAGUAUUAUUUUCCCCAAGAGGCAGCUGCUGCAGGCCAGUGAAUCCUCUGGACCCUGGGGAGAGGGUCAUACACUCCCUAGUGACUUCUACUGUAUGCUCCAGCUUUCCACCAGGACCUCCUGCCCUGUCCCCAACUGUAACGACCACAACCACCCCAUCCCCUUGGUUACACACAAAUAUCACCAGUCUUUACAUGUACUUUACUGACUUCUCAGAUAAUACCCUCCAACAAGAUAACUGCAGGACUUGCCACCAUGACCUGAGAAAUACACCAAGAUAUUAUUGUC